CCCAAAGGUUCCCUCAGAAUGGUUGGAAAUCAUUCGCAGAGUGUAAAGGCACAAGGGAGCUUGACUGCGAGACCUACAAGUCGAGCAGGGACGAAAGUCGGGCUUAGUGAUCCGGUGGUUCCGCAUGGAAGGGCCAUCGCUCAACGGAUAAAAGCUACCCCGGGGAUAACAGGCUUAUCUCCCCCAAGAGUCCACAUCGACGGGGAGGUUUGGCACCUCGAUGUCGGCUCAUCGCAUCCUGGGGCUGUAGUCGGUCCCAAGGGUUGGGCUGUUCGCCCAUUAAAGCGGUACGCGAGCUGGGUUCAGAACGUCGUGAGACAGUUCGGUCCCUAUCCGUCG
This 339-nucleotide ribosomal RNA is filed under the name Bacillus licheniformis. RNAcentral describes it as "bacterial LSU rRNA". It matches the Rfam family "Bacterial large subunit ribosomal RNA", at positions 2309 to 2647 of the family's 2925-position model. The record is from RNAcentral. Lineage: Bacteria; Bacillati; Bacillota; Bacilli; Caryophanales; Bacillaceae.